CAUAAUGACCCUCUUUGAUAACGUGUUUAUGCUAAUAAGAUAGCUUGGAGUGGGGUCCAUAGAUAGUCUAAAAACUGGGGGGGAAGGAGCUGAAGAUCAUGCUCUGUAAGAUUCGUUUUUCUUUUUUUUAAUAUUUAAAGAGAUGGGGUCUCUAUGUUGCCCAGGCGGGUCUUGAACUGGCUAAUUUUUAUAUUUUUAGUACAGACCGAGUUUUGCCAUGUUGGCCAGGCUGGUCUCGAACUCCUAACUUCAGGUGAUCCACCCGUCUCGGCCUCCCAAAGUGCUGGGAUUACAGGUGUAAGCCACCGCACCCAGCCUUAUUUUGUAUUUUUGUAGAGAUGGAGUCUGGCAAACAUAUAAUUACCAAUUUAUUGCUCUUCUGUUUGAAAGAAGUGUUUUGACUGCAGUAAAGUUCUAGCCUAUUGUGAAAAUCAGGCUAGCCCAUUUCUCAGAUGGCUGCCUGGCUAGACACCCUCUCUGAGAUGGCUGGAAUGAUUAGUAGAAAGGAGUGGGCAGGAAGUAGGUGGAGAGUGGGGAUUCUAGAUCAGGGGUCCUAUGGCCUGUUAAGAACGGGCCAUUACAGCAGGAGGUGAGUGGCGGGCAAGCAAGCAUUACCACCUGAGCUCCGUCUCCCGUCAGAUCAGUGGCGGCAUUAGAUUCUCCUGGAAGUGCAAAUCCUACUGUGAACUGUGCAUGCAAGGGAUCUAGGUUACGAGCUCCUUGUGAGAAUCUAAUGCCUGAUGAUCUGAGAUGGAACAGUUUCAUCCCAAAACCAUUCCCCCUAACUCCUCCCCCAUUUUUUCAUGGAAAAAUUGUCUUCCAUGAAACGGGUUCCUGGUGCCAGGAAGGUUGGGUACCACUAUUGUAGAUAAUUUCCUUCCAAAUUACUGGCAUCUGGGUUAAUUCUGGCAGUAUUGUCAGUACAACAUGGACGAGGACUUGAUAAAGUGAUUUCUUUCCACCCACCCAAUAUCUUGUUCUUCUCCAGGCAGUCAGUUGUGGGAAACUUAUCAGGUUUGAGGGAGUUACUUGCUUUCAUCAGGUCACCUUGUCCCCUACCUCAGGGAGCCCCACAGCUCUGAGUGCUUUGGCUGUGGGAGAAUUCCAUCCUCUGGGUGUGCAAGUGGGUGUGUAUGGGUGGAGGAAUCUGACCAAAUAAGGCUUUACCUUAGCUAGAAAAUCACCCUGGCUUCAGGAAACCCACCAGUGCAUGCCAGCUUUGCAGUUCUUUUGUUGUUGUUGUUUUUGGGACAGAGUCUCGCUCUGUCACCCAGGCUGGAGUGCAUUUGCUCAAUCUUGGCAUUUGCAACCUCCACUUCCCAGGUACAAGUGAUUCUCGUGCCUCAGUCUGCCAAGUAGCUGGAAUUACAGGUGCCCGCCACCAUGCCUGGCUAAUUUUUGCAUUUUUUAGUUUGAGACGGGGUUUCACCAAUGUUGGCCAGGCUGAUCUUGAACUCCUGACCUCAAGUCAUCCACCCGCCUCAGCCUCCCAAAGUGCUGGGAUUACAGGCAUGAGGCACAGUGCCCGGCCUCAGUUUCUGCAGUUCUUGCUUUUUAACAGUUGUUUACCCUACAAAAAUGGAAAAUAUACUUGGAAAUAUUUGUGGACAUAGGGCUUUUAAGUAUAUGCACUUAGAGAUAGAUACAGACAACCUAUGGAUUAGGAAAUAGGACACUAUCCAUGUCUGAAAUUUAAAUAAGGUCCAAAUUAGCUUAGAUCCAAUAUGAUUCCCCAAUGCAUAUAUGAACAAUACGUGAACAUUGUUGUGUGCACAACUAUGGAAAGGUCUUAAUCCGCACAGUGACUCUGAGAUAAGACUCACUGAAGGAAAUACAGCAGCAAACCCAGGAGAUGUGAGUUCCAAUCUUCAUUUGUAACUCACUCCAAAUGAGAUCCUAGCAAUGAAGUAAUUUUUUUUUGUUUCCCACUAAAAACAAAUAAACAAAAACCUUAGUUUUUCUAUGCUACAGAAUUAGGAUGACAAAUGAACUUAUCUUGCAGUCACUAUAAGAACACUGACAGUUUCAGAGAUAGUAUUAAAAAUCAACUAAACACUUAUAAUUAUUGUGAAAGCAUUUAUCUAUCAAAGAAGGUUAGCCUGCAGCCAGUUGGAAAGUUUUUUUUGUUGUUUUUUUGGUUUGUUUGUUUGUUUGUUUGUUUGUUUGUUUGAUAGAGACAGGGUCUCACUAUGUUGCCAGGCUCUCCUGGGCUCAAGCAAUCCUCCCGCCUCAGCCUCCCAAAAUGCUGGGAUUACAGGCAUGAGCCACCGUGUCCGGCUGCCAGGUGGAAAGAACAAUUUAAGGAGAUGGUUAAAAGUGGAAAAGCCAAUAACAUGGUAAUAAUUG
This 2346-nucleotide long non-coding RNA is filed under the name Homo sapiens (human). Its description in RNAcentral is "non-protein coding lnc-C2orf83-2:1". The record is from RNAcentral. Lineage: Eukaryota; Metazoa; Chordata; Mammalia; Primates; Hominidae.